RNAcentral lists this long non-coding RNA (1032 nucleotides) under Heterocephalus glaber (naked mole-rat). Its description in RNAcentral is "lncRNA (ENSHGLG00000034442.1)". Lineage: Eukaryota; Metazoa; Chordata; Mammalia; Rodentia; Bathyergidae. The record is from RNAcentral.
AGUUACAUCACUUAGCUCACUUGAGAAAAUCAAAGUUAAAAAGACUAAUGAGCUCUAAGUUUUCAAUCCCAAGACUGACCUCUAUGGUUCAGGACAUCAGUUCCAGGUGUCAGAUGUGUGCACAGUUAAACUCCAAGGUGAAACCAAAGAACAAAGUCUCUUCAAGCCUUACAGAUUCUUCAGAGUGAGAUCCAGGCUACAAGACAACAGGCUCGAGAAAAAGCCUCUGCGACAUUCCAGCCCCAUGGUUUCAAGUCAGGAGACCUGGUCCUGAUAUGCUUGGUCUGCUUGCACCGAGGACUUGACUAUUUAAAUACAUUCCCAAAUCAAUCUUGGCUACCCAAUCUGCCACUUUAUUUUGUGUCAUGGUGUAUGUUUUCCACAAGUCUUGUAUUAUAAUAAAAAAGGAGGCCGCGAACAUCUGGGAUUAACCACUGAACACUAUAGGAGUAAAUGGGCUGCCCCCGUUUUAGUGCCCAUUCUGGUGGGAUUAGGAAUAGCCAGGUCAGCGGCUAUUGGAACUUCCUCCCUGAUCCUUCAGGACAAAUUUUAAAGCCCUAAGCCACCAGGUAGCCAGAGAUUUGGGUUGCCUGAAAGACUUGAUCUCUAGAUUAAAAAACCAGGUUGAUUCCCUAGCUGAGAUGGUCCUACAAAUCAAAGGGGACUUGACCUCCUGUUCAUGAAACAAAAAGGGUUAUGUGUAGCCCUAAAAAAACCCAAAAACCUGUUGCUUCUAUGCUAAUGGUUAACUACCCUAGUUUCUGCUAUAGCAGGCCCCCUAGUUAUCUUACUUCUGCUUUUGCUCGUGAGACCUUACAUUACAAAUGCUCUGACUAAAUACAUUAGACAGAGGGUUGAUACAGUUAAACUGGUGGUGUUGAGACAAAAUUAUGAAAUUUUAAAAGACGUUUUAAAAAAAAUUCAAAGAGUAAAUAUAGGAAUCAAAGAUUUGAUUAAGUUACAAGAACCAGUGGGGCAGGAAAGACCCUGGUUAGCAAGACAGACUCCAUAUUGCUGCUUGACCCACCUGUC